RNAcentral lists this long non-coding RNA (1210 nucleotides) under Gallus gallus (chicken). Its description in RNAcentral is "lncRNA (ENSGALG00010017857.1)". The record is from RNAcentral. Lineage: Eukaryota; Metazoa; Chordata; Aves; Galliformes; Phasianidae.
AUGUGUAUACUUUUUUUUUUUCUUUUUUUUCCAAAAAAAAAUAAACCUACAACUGCUGAUACCUUUUCUCGCAUGUCAGGUGGGGCUGGGGCUGCAGCAGCCCUGCCUCUUCCCAGUCAUGCCUGCAUUGGAAGGGUCCUGGAAAAUCUCACAGAAUCAUAGAAUGGCCUGGGUUGAAAAGGACCACAAUGACCAUCGAGUUUCAACCCCCCGGCUAUGUGCCAACCACCAGAGGAUCGCCAACCACCAGAGCAGGCUGCCCAGAGCCACUUCCAGCCUGGCCUUGAAUGCCUCCAGCGACGGGACAUCCACAACCUCCUUGGGCAACCUGUUCCAGUGCGUCACCACCCUCUGGGUGAAAAACUUCCUCCUAAUAUCUAACCUAAACCGCCCCUGUCUCAGUUUAAGACCAUCCCUCCUUGUCCUACCACUAUCCACCCUCAAAAACAGUCGUUCCCCUUCCAGUUUAUACGCUCCCUUCAAGUACUGGAAGGCCACAAUGAGCUCCCCCUGGAGCCUUCUCUUCUCCAAGCUAUACAAGCCCAGUUCCCUCAACCUUUCCUCAUAGGAGAGGUGCUCCUGCCCUCUGAUCAUCUUAGUGGCCCUCCUCUGGACACGCUCCAACAGCUCCACCCUUCCUCUACUGGGGGCCUGUAGAGCAAAUAAGGAUACGGAUAUAAGAAACUAUCGCCUUUGAAAAGGAAUAAUCAGAGAUGAACAGGAAGCUUACCCGUGUCCUAGGCUCGCCAAAAGGGCUCCAAGAGGAGUGAUCUUCAGAGAGCGAUCCUUCCUCCGUGGCAGUCAGCCCUUAAAUGGGGUUUAGAAGAGGUGGAGCCUGGCUCCACCCCUUCCGGUCACACAGGUGGAGUUGCAGUUCAACAGGUCUCAUACAGGGCCCCAGGCCUGGGUGCAGUACUCCAGAUGGGGCCUCACAAGAGCUGAGUAGAGGGGGACAACCACCUCCCUCUCCCUGCUGGCCACCUCUUUCUUAACGCAGCCCAGAACACACUUGGCCUUCCGGGCUGCCAGCACACACUGCUGGCUCACGUCCAGCUUCUAAAAUCACACAACGCUGGAAUGGUUUGUGUUGCAUGGCUCCCUGAAGAUCACAGAACCACUGGAUUUUUGUACGCUGGAAGUGUCCUUGAAGAUCACAGAACAAUAGGAUGGCUUGUGUUGAAAAUGUCCCUGAAGAUCACAGCACAGUAGA